This 550-nucleotide ribosomal RNA is filed under the name Lasiodiplodia theobromae. RNAcentral describes it as "eukaryotic LSU rRNA". The stretch from base 191 to 344 matches the Rfam family "5.8S ribosomal RNA". Lineage: Eukaryota; Fungi; Ascomycota; Dothideomycetes; Botryosphaeriales; Botryosphaeriaceae. The record is from RNAcentral.
GAAGUAAAAGUCGUAACAAGGUUUCCGUAGGUGAACCUGCGGAAGGAUCAUUACCGAGUUUUCGAGCUUCGGCUCGACUCUCCCACCCUUUGUGAACGUACCUCUGUUGCUUUGGCGGCUUCGGCCGCCAAAGGACCUUCAAACUCCAGUCAGUAAACGCAGACGUCUGAUAAACAAGUUAAUAAACUAAAACUUUCAACAACGGAUCUCUUGGUUCUGGCAUCGAUGAAGAACGCAGCGAAAUGCGAUAAGUAAUGUGAAUUGCAGAAUUCAGUGAAUCAUCGAAUCUUUGAACGCACAUUGCGCCCCUUGGUAUUCCGGGGGGCAUGCCUGUUCGAGCGUCAUUACAACCCUCAAGCUCUGCUUGGAAUUGGGCACCGUCCUCACUGCGGACGCGCCUCAAAGACCUCGGCGGUGGCUGUUCAGCCCUCAAGCGUAGUAGAAUACACCUCGCUUUGGAGCGGUUGGCGUCGCCCGCCGGACGAACCUUCUGAACUUUUCUCAAGGUUGACCUCGGAUCAGGUAGGGAUACCCGCUGAACUUAAGCAUA